GCCUGUGAACAAAUCACCCAUAACGUGCCCAAUCUUGUCAGAUCUCAGAAGCUAAGCAGAUUUUGAGCCUGUACAGUUAUUGUAUGGGAGACUGCCAUGCGUAACAGGUGUUAUGGGCC
RNAcentral lists this ribosomal RNA (119 nucleotides) under Petromyzon marinus (sea lamprey). The record is from RNAcentral. Lineage: Eukaryota; Metazoa; Chordata; Hyperoartia; Petromyzontiformes; Petromyzontidae.